GUGGUGGUGAUGAGCCUCUAACAUAUAAGAAGAGUCCUUUUUUAGGGUUUCUUCAAUGCAAUAUGCAUGUUACGCUUGGCUUCUGAGCUUC
Molecule: non-coding RNA, 91 nt
Organism: Vigna angularis (adzuki bean)
Lineage: Eukaryota; Viridiplantae; Streptophyta; Magnoliopsida; Fabales; Fabaceae
Source: Rfam